This 468-nucleotide ribosomal RNA is filed under the name uncultured bacterium. RNAcentral describes it as "partial 16S ribosomal RNA". It matches the Rfam family "Bacterial small subunit ribosomal RNA", at positions 28 to 507 of the family's 1533-position model. The record is from RNAcentral.
GACGAACGCUGGCGGCGUGCUUAAUACAUGCAAGUCGAACGGAAAGGCCCUGCUUUUGUGGGGUGCUCGAGUGGCGAACGGGUGAGUAACACGUGAGUAACCUGCCCUUGACUUUGGGAUAACUUCAGGAAACUGGGGCUAAUACCGGAUAGGAGCUCCUGUUGCAUGGUGGGGGUUGGAAAGUUUCGGCGGUUGGGGAUGGACUCGCGGCUUAUCAGCUUGUUGGUGGGGUAGUGGCUUACCAAGGCUUUGACGGGUAGCCGGCCUGAGAGGGUGACCGGCCACAUUGGGACUGAGAUACGGCCCAGACUCCUACGGGAGGCAGCAGUGGGGAAUAUUGCACAAUGGGCGGAAGCCUGAUGCAGCAACGCCGCGUGCGGGAUGACGGCCUUCGGGUUGUAAACCGCUUUCGCCUGUGACGAAGCGUGAGUGACGGUAAUGGGUAAAGAAGCACCGGCUAACUACGUG